GUAGUUUUAAACAUUUUCCAUGUACUAUGAAAGAGAGUUUAAUAUACAUUAAUACAACUAUUAGUUAAGAAUGCAACUAUGCAUUAAAAUAAAAUUUUCAUUUUUUCGAUUGUUUCUCAAAAUCUAUGGGUUAACCCCCUACAAAAAUAUUUAAUUUUUCGAUAAAUGCUCUAUAUACUGAAGCCUAUGAUUUUUAGUGUAUUUUAAUUUUUUUUAAAC
RNAcentral lists this long non-coding RNA (219 nucleotides) under Brassica napus (rape). Its description in RNAcentral is "long non-coding RNA (BNAP_LNC006479)". Lineage: Eukaryota; Viridiplantae; Streptophyta; Magnoliopsida; Brassicales; Brassicaceae. The record is from RNAcentral.